UACUCAUGGUUUUUUUUUUUCAUAUCGUAUAAAUCUUUCGCCUUUUACUAAAGAUUUCCGUGGAGAGGAACACAAUGAGUAUAAGCUAAUUUUUUGAUGCCCUGCUUAACUGUGGGCU
Molecule: small nuclear RNA, 118 nt
Filed under: Sinocyclocheilus anshuiensis
Lineage: Eukaryota; Metazoa; Chordata; Actinopteri; Cypriniformes; Cyprinidae
Description: U5 spliceosomal RNA (ENSSANG00000010988.1)
Rfam family: U5 spliceosomal RNA
About the family: U5 RNA is a component of both types of known spliceosome. The precise function of this molecule is unknown, though it is known that the 5' loop is required for splice site selection and p220 binding, and that both the 3' stem-loop and the Sm site are important for Sm protein binding and cap methylation.
Source: Rfam by way of RNAcentral